UUUUCGGUUGAUCCUGCCGGACCUGACUGCUAUCGGAUUGGUACUAAGCCAUGCGAGUCAUUGUAGCAAUACAAGGCGGACGGCUCAGUAACACGUAGUCAACCUAACUCGUGGACGUGGAUAACCUCGGGAAACUGAGAAUAAACCGCGAUAGAUCAUUAUGCCUGGAAUGGCUUAUGGUCCAAAUAGUUUACUGCCAUGGGAUGGGACUGCGGCCUAUCAGCUUGUUGGUGAGGUAAUGGCCCACCAAGGCUAUAACAGGUACGGGCUCUGAGAGGAGAAGCCCGGAGAUGGGUACUGAGACACGGACCCAGGCCCUAUGGGGCGCAGCAGGCGAGAAACCUUAGCAAUGUGCGAAAGCACGACUGGGUCAGUCCGAGUGAUUCCUGAUAAAGGAGUCUUUUGCUUGUCCUAAAAGCACAGGUGAAUAAGGGGUGGGCAAGUCUGGUGUCAGCCGCCGCGGUAAUACCAGCACCUCGAGUGGUCAGGACGUUUAUUGGGCCUAAAGCAUCCGUAGCCGGCUCUGCAAGUCUUCGGUUAAAUCCACCUGCUCAACAGAUGGGCCGCUGGAGAUACUACAGAGCUAGGGAGUGGGAGAGGCAGACGGUAUUCAGUGGGUA
RNAcentral lists this ribosomal RNA (620 nucleotides) under uncultured archaeon. Its description in RNAcentral is "bacterial SSU rRNA". It matches the Rfam family "Archaeal small subunit ribosomal RNA", at positions 1 to 628 of the family's 1478-position model. The record is from RNAcentral.